This 253-nucleotide ribosomal RNA is filed under the name uncultured bacterium. RNAcentral describes it as "partial 16S ribosomal RNA". It matches the Rfam family "Bacterial small subunit ribosomal RNA", at positions 524 to 776 of the family's 1533-position model. The record is from RNAcentral.
GACAGAGGGUGCAAACGUUGUCCGGAAUUACUGGGCGUAAAGCGCACGUAGGCGGCUUUGUAAGUUAGAGGUGAAAGCCCGGGGCUCAACUCCGGAAUUGCCUUUAAGACUGCAUCGCUAGAAUUGUGGAGAGGUAAGUGGAAUUCCGAGUGUAGAGGUGAAAUUCGUAGAUAUUCGGAAGAACACCAGUGGCGAAGGCGACUUACUGGACACAUAUUGACGCUGAGGUGCGAAAGCGUGGGGAGCAAACAGG